Molecule: long non-coding RNA, 631 nt
Organism: Medicago truncatula (barrel medic)
Lineage: Eukaryota; Viridiplantae; Streptophyta; Magnoliopsida; Fabales; Fabaceae
Exons: 2
Source: RefSeq, a predicted model, not a curated record
AUUUCCGAAUGCACCGGGGACUUUGAUUUAUCCUACUUAUGGUGAAGGAGAACUAAUAGUCUAACACAAGCCUUUUGUCGUCGUGCUGCUGUCUAAGGAGGCCUUUUCUUUAAAUUUCCAAAUACCUUAAUUUCAUUCUCUUUUAAUAUUGCAUAUUGUUGAACUUAUAUGCUUAUUUACAUCUUAAACUUUUGUGAAUCAGGUUCGACGAAUGCCGGUUAUAUCUCUGCUUAUGGAUAAGAUCACUGAGUCGUAUGAAGGUGUUAGAUCAGUUUAUCCUGGAUCCAUCCUUUGUAAUUCCAUCAACACAGUGUUUGUCUCCUAAAGGAAUGGUAGCUAGGGGAAUACGCAUCACAAGGAAUGGUGGCUAGGGAAAUUUGCAUCACAAGGAGUGCUAUAUAUUCAGAUGUAUCAAAUUGCUAUGUGGUGUAUCCUCCUAAAUGUAAAACAGAUUUAAUCUCUGCAUUUUGUUAAGCAUCAGGGGCAUAUUAAACAUGAGAAAGGUACAUGAUAGGCAUAUGAAUGGUUAAUGUUCUAGCUUUGAGAUAUCAAAGAAAACUAAAUGAUUUAAACAUAUGAUAUUGAAGAGAAAAGAUUAAACAUUUCAAAUAAAUGUGUGAAUGAUUGAAUA